UGAGGAAUAUUGCGCAAUGGGGGCAACCCUGACGCAGCAACGCCGCGUGAGAGAGGAAGGUUUUCGGACCGUAAAGCUCUGUCGAGCGGGAAGAAAUGCAUGGUGGCUAAUAUCCAUCAUGCUUGACGGUACCGCUAAAGGAAGCACCGGCUAACUCCGUGCCAGCCGCCGCGGUAAUACGGGGGGUGCGGGCGUGGUUCGGAAUUAUUGGGCGUAAAGUGCGUGUAGGCGUCCGAAUAAGCCAGAUGUGAAA
Molecule: ribosomal RNA, 253 nt
Filed under: uncultured bacterium
Lineage: Bacteria
Description: partial 16S ribosomal RNA
Rfam family: Bacterial small subunit ribosomal RNA
Source: RNAcentral